Molecule: ribosomal RNA, 429 nt
Filed under: Chloroflexota bacterium
Lineage: Bacteria; Bacillati; Chloroflexota
Description: Chloroflexi bacterium partial 16S ribosomal RNA
Rfam family: Bacterial small subunit ribosomal RNA
Source: RNAcentral
UGGGGAAUCUUCGGCAAUGGACGAAAGUCUGACCGAGCAACGCCGCGUGAGUGAAGAAGGUUUUCGGAUCGUAAAACUCUGUUGUUAGAGAAGAACAAGGACGUUAGUAACUGAACGUCCCCUGACGGUAUCUAACCAGAAAGCCACGGCUAACUACGUGCCAGCAGCCGCGGUAAUACGUAGGUGGCAAGCGUUGUCCGGAUUUAUUGGGCGUAAAGCGAGCGCAGGCGGUUUCUUAAGUCUGAUGUGAAAGCCCCCGGCUCAACCGGGGAGGGUCAUUGGAAACUGGGAGACUUGAGUGCAGAAGAGGAGAGUGGAAUUCCAUGUGUAGCGGUGAAAUGCGUAGAGAUCUGGAGGAAUACCGGUGGCGAAGGCGGCCCCCUGGACAAAGACUGACGCUCAGGUGCGAAAGCGUGGGGAGCAAACAGG